This 67-nucleotide microRNA precursor is filed under the name Bombyx mori (domestic silkworm). Its description in RNAcentral is "mir-2774 microRNA precursor family". It matches the Rfam family "mir-2774 microRNA precursor family". The record is from Rfam by way of RNAcentral. Lineage: Eukaryota; Metazoa; Arthropoda; Insecta; Lepidoptera; Bombycidae.
AUAGCAUUUAGACUCUCGGUCUACCGUGCAAUUUCACCCGCUCGGUGGAAGAUCUUCCCUUUCUCAU